CUACAGGUGGUGUAGUGGUUUGAGUGUUGGACUACAACUCUAGAGGCCAGGGUUCGAUUCCCUGCUCAGCGA
This 72-nucleotide transfer RNA is filed under the name Phrynosoma platyrhinos (Desert horned lizard). RNAcentral describes it as "tRNA-OTHER". Lineage: Eukaryota; Metazoa; Chordata; Lepidosauria; Squamata; Phrynosomatidae. The record is from RNAcentral.